GUGCGUGUGUGUGUGUUUGCGAAUCCCGGAUGGGACCCAACCUAAUACACGUACCAGAAUCUGUACUGUACUAAGAAAGUGUAAUCCCAAAUAUAACA
Long non-coding RNA from Haliotis rubra (blacklip abalone), 98 nucleotides. RefSeq lists it as uncharacterized. NCBI's taxonomy places the organism in Eukaryota, Metazoa, Mollusca, Gastropoda, Lepetellida, Haliotidae. The record is from RefSeq and is a predicted model, not a curated record. The transcript has 4 exons.